Molecule: ribosomal RNA, 451 nt
Filed under: uncultured bacterium
Lineage: Bacteria
Description: bacterial SSU rRNA
Rfam family: Bacterial small subunit ribosomal RNA
Source: RNAcentral
GUCGAGAAUAAUUCACAAUGGGGGAAACCCUGAUGGUGCAACGCCGCGUGGAGGAUGAAGGUCUUCGGAUUGUAAACUCCUGUCAUUCGAGAGUAAGACCUGACGGUGAAUAGCCGGCAGGGUUGAUAGUAUCGGAAGAGGAAGGGACGGCUAACUUCGUGCCAGCAGCCGCGGUAAUACGAAGGUCCCAAGCGUUGUUCGGAAUCACUGGGCGUAAAGGGAGCGUAGGCUGCGCGGUAAGUCAGGUGUGAAAUCCCGGGGCUCAACCCCGGAACUGCACCCGAUACUGCCGUACUAGAGGGUUGGAGAGGUGACUGGAAUUCUCGGUGUAGCAGUGAAAUGCGUGGAUAUCGAGAGGAACACUCGUGGCGAAGGCGAGUCACUGGACAACAUCUGACGCUGAGGCUCGAAGGCCAGGGGAGCAAAAGGGAUUAGAUACCCCCAGUAGUCC